RNAcentral lists this unclassified non-coding RNA (233 nucleotides) under Hevea brasiliensis (rubber tree). The record is from RNAcentral. Lineage: Eukaryota; Viridiplantae; Streptophyta; Magnoliopsida; Malpighiales; Euphorbiaceae.
UUAAAACUUGGGAAUAUUGUAGAUAUUAGGAUUUGUAUUGGGAGCUUUUUGGAGGAAUGGAUAAGGGAUGGGUGCGGAAGAGAGAGAUUGCUAAAGGUGCUGUUUAUUGUAUUAGUAUUGAAUUUUGACUGAAAAUUUAACUUCACUGGUCGCAAAAAUUAAAGUGAUCAUGUGUGCAAGCGUGGUUUGUAAAGUUUAAGCUUGGUUGAUCAAAUGUGCUGUUGGGAAAUUUG